GACGAACGCUGGCGGCGUGCUUAACACAUGCAAGUCGAACGGAAAGGCCCUGCUUUUGUGGGGUGCUCGAGUGGCGAACGGGUGAGUAACACGUGAGUAACCUGCCCUUGACUUUGGGAUAACUUCAGGAAACUGGGGCUAAUACCGGAUAGGAGCUCCUGCUGCAUGGUGGGGGUUGGAAAGUUUCGGCGGUUGGGGAUGGACUCGCGGCUUAUCAGCUUGUUGGUGGGGUAGUGGCUUACCAAGGCUUUGACGGGUAGCCGGCCUGAGAGGGUGACCGGCCACAUUGGGACUGAGAUACGGCCCAGACUCCUACGGGAGGCAGGAGUGGGGAAUAUUGCACAAUGGGCGGAAGCCUGAUGCAGCAACGCCGCGUGCGGGAUGACGGCCUUCGGGUUGUAAACCGCUUUCGCCUGUGACGAAGCGUGAGUGACGGUAAUGGGUAAAGAAGCACCGGCUAACUACG
Molecule: ribosomal RNA, 466 nt
Filed under: uncultured bacterium
Lineage: Bacteria
Description: partial 16S ribosomal RNA
Rfam family: Bacterial small subunit ribosomal RNA
Source: RNAcentral